GUAGGUGGCAAGCGUUGUCCGGAAUUAUUGGGCGUAAAGCGCGCGCAGGCGGGUCCUUUAAGUCUGAUGUGAAAGCCCACGGGCUCAACCGUGGAGGGUCAUUGGAAACUGGGGGACUUGAGUACAGAAGAGGAAAGCGGAAUUCCAAGUGUAGCGGUGAAAUGCGCAGAGAUUUGGAGGAACACCAGUGGCGAAGGCGGCUUUCUGGUCUGUAACUGACGCUGAGGCGCGAAAGCGUGGGGAGCAAACAGGAUUAGAUACCCUGGUAGUCCACGCCGUAAACGAUGAGUGCUAAGUGUUAGGGGGUUUCCGCCCCUUAGUGCUGCAGCUAACGCAUUAAGCACUCCGCCUGGGGAGUACGGCCGCAAGGCUG
Molecule: ribosomal RNA, 373 nt
Filed under: uncultured organism
Description: partial 16S ribosomal RNA
Rfam family: Bacterial small subunit ribosomal RNA
Source: RNAcentral